RNAcentral lists this ribosomal RNA (459 nucleotides) under uncultured bacterium. RNAcentral's name for it is "bacterial SSU rRNA". It matches the Rfam family "Bacterial small subunit ribosomal RNA", at positions 29 to 533 of the family's 1533-position model. The record is from RNAcentral.
AACGAACGCUGGCGGCAGGCCUAACACAUGCAAGUCGAGCGAGGACUUCGGUCCUAGCGGCGGACGGGUGAGUAACGCGUGGGAACGUGCCCCUUUCUACGGAAUAGCCCCGGGAAACUGGGAGUAAUACCGUAUAAGCCCUACGGGGGAAAGAUUUAUCGGGAAGGGAUCGGCCCGCGUUGGAUUAGGUAGUUGGUGGGGUAAUGGCCUACCAAGCCGACGAUCCAUAGCUGGUUUGAGAGGAUGAUCAGCCACACUGGGACUGAGGCGCGGCCCAGACUCCUACGGGAGGCAGCAGUGGGGAAUCUUAGACAAUGGGCGCAAGCCUGAUCUAGCCAUGCCGCGUGAGCGAUGAAGGCCUUAGGGUUGUAAAGCUCUUUCAGUGGGGAAGGAUAAUGACUGUACCCACAGAAGAAGCCCGGCUAACUCCGUGCCAGCAGCCGCGGUAAAGUACAGUGU